RNAcentral lists this ribosomal RNA (116 nucleotides) under Salmonella enterica subsp. enterica serovar Adjame. Lineage: Bacteria; Pseudomonadati; Pseudomonadota; Gammaproteobacteria; Enterobacterales; Enterobacteriaceae. The record is from RNAcentral.
GCCGGCGGCACUAGCGCGGUGGUCCCACCUGACCCCAUGCCGAACUCAGAAGUGAAACGCCGUAGCGCCGAUGGUAGUGUGGGGUCUCCCCAUGCGAGAGUAGGGAACUGCCAGGC